UGAUUGAACGCUGUCCAAGUACUUGACACAUGCUAAUCGAACGACUAAUUAGUUUGUAAAAACUGAGUAGUAGUGGUGUACAGGUGAGUAAAAGAUAAUUUGGCUACCUUAAAGUAAGGGGAAAAUCCCUUAUAUAAGAAAGGAAAUUAAAAGGUCCGCUUUAAGAUGUUAAUCUUUAUCUCGGUGAGUAGUAGGAAAGGUAAUGACUUUUCUAGCUAAUAUCCGUAGUCGUGACUGAGAGGUCGAUCGACCACAUUGGGUCUGAAAAAACCCCAAUGCGUAUUAGUACAGCAGUGAGGAAUAUUGGUCAAUGGCCGAAAGGCUGAACCAGUAACUUGGAAGAAUGAAAGUGUAUUAUAAUAAUACAAUAACGAUUAACUCGUAUAAAAUUCUAAAUAGGAUAAUGAUAAUGACAAUUUCCUAUUUAUAAGUCUUGACCAAAUUACGUGCCAGCAGUCGCGGUAAUACGUAGAAGACUAGUGUUAGUCA
RNAcentral lists this ribosomal RNA (489 nucleotides) under Aspergillus terreus. RNAcentral describes it as "SSU rRNA". It matches the Rfam family "Bacterial small subunit ribosomal RNA", at positions 27 to 546 of the family's 1533-position model. The record is from RNAcentral. Lineage: Eukaryota; Fungi; Ascomycota; Eurotiomycetes; Eurotiales; Aspergillaceae.